ACUUGGAUAGCUUAAUUUAAAGCUUAAUAUUGAAGCUAUUAUGAUAAGAAUAUUCUUUCCAAGUA
Molecule: transfer RNA, 65 nt
Filed under: Notobitus montanus
Lineage: Eukaryota; Metazoa; Arthropoda; Insecta; Hemiptera; Coreidae
Description: tRNA-Phe
Source: RNAcentral